GCUCACGCUGAGGCCACUUCUGUUUCUUUUUUCCGCACCAAAGCUCGGUUUCACAUCCCGGUUCCUCUCGACGCUCGCUCGUUCUUAUCCUCUCGCUACAGUGGCCUAAGGCGAUAAGAGGGCGACUUCGAGGCGGAGGCUGUUGCCGGCGGGGAUUCCGUCCGUCCUCUUCCUCUCCGACGGCCGGCCCACGCUCGCUCGUUCUUAUCCUCUCGCUACAGUGGCCUAAGGCGAUAAGAGGGCGACUUCGAGGCGGAGGCUGUUGCCGGCGGGGAUUCCGUCCGUCCUCUUCCUCUCCGACGGCCGGCCGGCCGUCGGAGAGGGAGAUGGACCGCGGAAUCAUCGUGCGGCUAUAGAUAAGUUAGAUAGUUACAUAUUUAGACCUAAUAACUGCUCGUCGCCGUCGGGUGGCGGAGCUUGGUUUGGCCGGCGGCCUCAAUCCGUCGAUUCCUUUCGCGUUCAGCUGGAGGAGAUGGAGUUUGAGCCGUUGCGGUUUGUGUUCCUCUUGCUGAUGGCUGGUGACAGUGUUUCGGCAAGGUGGAUUUUGUUUCUCCAGAUGAUUUCCAGUGAGUUCUCUCGCUUCAAAUCCUCAGUGAGAUUGGUUCUCCUUCUUAUCGCGGAUGCUCCUGGCGUUGGCGAUGGGGAUGAGAUUUUGCUCCUCCGAGGCGGCUCCGGCGUUCUCCGGCCAUCUUGUGAGUGGCGGAAGCCUUCCGGCCAUCGUCUUCCUCGAUGGUGGUGGCGAACAGUUGCUUGGUGUAUUUCUUUUUCUUCAGUGGCAGAAAGAAGACGGAAGACACAAGAAAGGAGUUUCUCUACUUCACCUGCAAGAGUGUUGGCCUCCAUUCUCUGGGCUUCUAUUCUCGAGUUUGUUGCUGGUUGUUUGCCUGUGCACGCCAAGUGUUUGCCUGUGCGGCCUUCUAUACGAAGCGUCAUAUAGGUCUAAAGUUAAGAAUUUAGACUAUACAAGACUUUUAGAUGAUCAUGUUGUAUUCCAGCAUGCUUGUAAUCUGAUGAUGUACUCAACUAUGGUCUAAUAUAUUCCUUCUUUCGUCUAAAAAAAAA
Molecule: long non-coding RNA, 1062 nt
Organism: Panicum virgatum (switchgrass)
Lineage: Eukaryota; Viridiplantae; Streptophyta; Magnoliopsida; Poales; Poaceae
Exons: 2
Source: RefSeq, a predicted model, not a curated record